Eptesicus fuscus (big brown bat) is the source of this 134-nucleotide small nuclear RNA. RefSeq annotates it as U11 spliceosomal RNA. The record is from RefSeq and is a predicted model, not a curated record. The transcript has a single exon. Lineage: Eukaryota; Metazoa; Chordata; Mammalia; Chiroptera; Vespertilionidae.
AAAAAAGGCUUCUGUUGUGAGUGGCACUCGUAGAGCAGCCUGAUGGCUCUACGUGCAGAAUUGACAUCCAGAGAUUUCGGAAGUGUAAUUUUUUGGUACUUGGGAAGCUGGUGAUCGUUGGUCCUGGCGCCCGC